Long non-coding RNA from Hipposideros armiger (great roundleaf bat), 1084 nucleotides. RefSeq lists it as uncharacterized. Lineage: Eukaryota; Metazoa; Chordata; Mammalia; Chiroptera; Hipposideridae. The record is from RefSeq and is a predicted model, not a curated record. The transcript has 2 exons.
AGGAAGUAAGCUGCUGAUGGAGCUGUAGUAUCCCUUAGUCUCUGGCCCUGAAAGGGGGAGGAGGAAAGAACGAGGGCUGAGCAGUGGAAGGAGGAGGGAGCCAUUUCUCUCCACUGGCUGCAACCUCCGUGCUCACAGCUCACAUUUCCUGGGAAUCCAGAGGCCUCCUCGGCCAAGGACUCCAUGAUGCUGGAUAUUUUCAUCCUGAUGUUCUUUGCCAUCAUAGGCCUGGUCAUCCUGUCCUACAUUAUCUAUCUGCUCUAGUGGCCUGCAGCUGCGGCGGGAGCCCAGAGAAGAACAGCUCAGGGGGAAGGAUGAAGCUGACUUGGCCGAGCAUCCUGCUUGCUGACGACGCACCGGUGGAUUUUUGCUACUGGUCAUUAUCUCGGCUCCUGGUCUCCAGUCCAACAAGAGGCCUCUUAUCAACAGCAGCUGUCCUGCCGCCCAGCAGACCUCUUCCAGAGCCUUCCGGAUAUGGUUAACCCCUGGAAAGCAAGGGGCUUUUUGAGCUCAGAGGCAGAGGCACUCGGCUGGGACAUCAGGAAUUCAUGGGCAUGGCUGGCAGAUGCUGCGUGCGUUUGAGCGGUAGAUGCAGAGUGUUGUGAACACAGAGAGCUGAAAUGCAGACUCAUUAAAGUUACCAUGGAGAACUGCUCAAAAAUUCACUCUGAUAGCCCUUCCUUAGGUCUAAAUGCAGCUACAUAUUAUGCUAACAUAUGUUCUUUCCUUUCCCUUUCACAGGAAGAUGUUCCCUUGUAAGUCCAAGAGCACGUUGUCUCUGUUUAUCUAUAAGUAGUCACUUUAUCACUCUGUCUUUAGAGAUUGCACAGUCUGGGUUUGUGUGGUUUCCCUUGUCUUAGUCUCUAGCCGGAAGAAACCUGUCAUUUAAAUUUUUAAGAUUUAUCUUACUCAUUCCAUACCACUUGUGCCCCAGCUUCUCAUUUAAAGAGACAAAUGGUUAUAUAAUCCUCAUUCUUUGUACCUGGCUGAGUUAUAAAUUAUUGAAACAACACAGCUGUACUUAUCUUACUUGUUAUUUGGGAAAAAUCUCUCUCCUACCCCAAUAUAAAUGUUUUUAAAAUUA